RNAcentral lists this ribosomal RNA (405 nucleotides) under uncultured Glomeromycotina. RNAcentral's name for it is "SSU rRNA". It matches the Rfam family "Eukaryotic small subunit ribosomal RNA", at positions 669 to 1077 of the family's 1831-position model. The record is from RNAcentral. Lineage: Eukaryota; Fungi; Glomeromycota.
CGGGUGAGUACUGUCUGUGGUCGGGUCCUACCUUCUGGCGAAGCGUCAUGGCCUUAACCGGCCGUGGCGGGGAACCAGGACUUUUACUGUGAAAAAAUUAGAGUGUUCAAAGCAGGCAAUCGCUUGGAUACAUUAGCAUGGAAUAAUGGAAUAGGACAAUGGUUCUAUUUGUUGGUUUCUAGGACCGUUGUAAUGAUUAAUAGGGAUAGUUGGGGGCAUUAGUAUUCAAUUGUCAGAGGUGAAAUUCUUGGAUUUAUUGAAGACUAACUACUGCGAAAGCAUUUGCCAAGGAUGUUUUCAUUAAUCAAGAACGAAAGUUAGGGGAUCGAAGACGAUCAGAUACCGUCGUAGUCUUAACCAUAAACUAUGCCGACUAGGAAUCGGGCGAUGUUGAAAAAAUGACGC